GUCCAACAUCCAACUCAAGUCACAUCCAAUAUGGGUAUAAUGCUCAUAUACUUUUUCCCGAGAGACCUGAUCAGCCAGAUUGCCAGUAUUACAUGAAGAAUGGUAGCUGCAAGUAUGGAUCAUCUUGCAAGUACCAUCAUCCCAGAGAUAGAAUAACUUCAUCAGCUGCAUGCACUGUUGGACCUCUUGGACUUCCUCUUAGACCGGUAAAUUCAUUCAAGUUGCUUUUAAGAUUUAUUUUUAUUUUUUGUUUCAUUAUUGUUUAUUGUCGUUUAUUUUUUGUAAAGGGUCAAGCUGUGUGUGGAUUCUACAGUAAUUACGGUACUUGCAAGUAUGGUUUAGGAUGUAAAUUUGAUCAUCCACUGACGGGAUAUUAUAAUUAUGGCACUGCUUCCACUUAUCCCCCAUCCAAUCCUUCGGCA
This 422-nucleotide long non-coding RNA is filed under the name Zostera marina. Its description in RNAcentral is "long non-coding RNA (ZMAR_LNC005953)". Lineage: Eukaryota; Viridiplantae; Streptophyta; Magnoliopsida; Alismatales; Zosteraceae. The record is from RNAcentral.